RNAcentral lists this long non-coding RNA (433 nucleotides) under Anas platyrhynchos (mallard). RNAcentral describes it as "lncRNA (ENSAPLG00020016540.1)". The record is from RNAcentral. Lineage: Eukaryota; Metazoa; Chordata; Aves; Anseriformes; Anatidae.
CUGCGGGCGGCGCCCGGCGCACGCUGAGGGGGCGAGGGGGGUCCCAGGGCGUUGGUGGUGCAGGGGGGGGAAGCCAAAAAAUGGUCCUGCGGCGAGGUUUGGGUCUGUGAGGGAAGGAGCUCGGCUUGCUGCGGCUCGUCGCGGUGCUAUGAGUGGCACGCAGCACUCGUACAUAGCCACGAGCUUAGCUGGAGAUGCAGCCAUCAAAAAUACAGAGCUAUUCUGAAAAAAGAAAAGCGGAAAAAAAAGCGGCAGGCACUAGCCAAACUGAGAGACUCUGAAGCUACAGAAAAAGAUGAAUCAGUGUCUGAGGAGGAAGAGGAGGAACUGGAAGAAGAGGAAGAAGAAGAAGAGGAGAAAAAGCUCGAGGCAGAAAGGUGAAACAGCUAGAAACUAGCAUAUGCUUAGUAGAUAGGUUUUUAGCCAAUUACAU